This is a non-coding RNA of Schizothecium vesticola, 72 nucleotides long. NCBI's taxonomy places the organism in Eukaryota, Fungi, Ascomycota, Sordariomycetes, Sordariales, Schizotheciaceae. The record is from the annotation of a GenBank genome assembly.
CGUGCGGUGGUGUAAUGAGUAAGCACUCUGAUUAGCACCCAGAGGUUCUCGGUUCGAAUCCGGGCCCCCUCA